UGGGGAAUUUUGCACAAUGGGGGAAACCCUGAUGCAGCGACGCCGCGUGAUUUAGAAGGCCUUCGGGUUGUAAAAAUCUUUUUUACGGGAUGAAAAUGACAGUACCGUAAGAAUAAGGUCCGGCUAAAUACGUGCCAGCAGCCGCGGUAAUACGUAUGGACCGAGCGUUGUCCGGAAUCAUUGGGCGUAAAGGGUACGUAGGCGGCCUAAUAAGUUAGAAGUGAAAGAAUAUAGCUCAACUAUAUAAAGCUUUUAAAACUGUUAGGCUUGAGAGAUGAAAGGGAAAGUGGAAUUCCUAGUGUAGCGGUGAAAUGCACAGAUAUUAGGAAGAAUACCGGUGGCGAAGGCGACUUUCUGGUCAUCAUCUGACGCUGAGGUACGAAAGCGUGGGUAGCAAACAGG
RNAcentral lists this ribosomal RNA (402 nucleotides) under bacterium. Its description in RNAcentral is "partial 16S ribosomal RNA". It matches the Rfam family "Bacterial small subunit ribosomal RNA", at positions 355 to 776 of the family's 1533-position model. The record is from RNAcentral.